This is a non-coding RNA of Schistocerca serialis cubense, 75 nucleotides long. NCBI's taxonomy places the organism in Eukaryota, Metazoa, Arthropoda, Insecta, Orthoptera, Acrididae. The record is from the annotation of a RefSeq genome assembly.
GGCCCGUUAGCUCAGUUGGUUAGAGCGUCGUGCUAAUAACGCGAAGGUCGUGGGUUCGAGCCCCCCCACGGGCCA